CCUACGGGUGGCAGCGGUGAGGAAUAUUGGUCAAUGGCCGGAAGGCUGAACCAGCCAUGCCGCGUGAAGGUCAGUGCCCUAUGGGCGUUAAACUUCUUUUGUGCGGGAGCAAUAAUGGUCACGUGUGGCCAGACGAGAGUACCGUACGAAUAAGCAUCGGCUAACUCCGGGCCAGCAGCCGCGGUAAUACGGGGGAUGCAAGUGUUAUCCGGAUUUAAUGGGUUUAAAGGGUGCGUAGGCUGUGAGGUAAGUCAGCGGUGAAAUGCCCCCGCUCAACGGGGGGAAGUGCCAUUGAUACUGCCUGGCUGGAAUGCGGAUGCCGUGGGAGGAAUGUGUGGUGUAGCGGUGAAAUGCAUAGAGAUCACACAGAACACCGAUUGCGAAGGCAUCUCACGAAUCCACGAUUGACGCUGAUGCACGAAAGCGUGGGUAUCAAACAGGAUUAGAUACCCCAGUAGUC
Molecule: ribosomal RNA, 460 nt
Filed under: uncultured bacterium
Lineage: Bacteria
Description: partial 16S ribosomal RNA
Rfam family: Bacterial small subunit ribosomal RNA
Source: RNAcentral